RNAcentral lists this ribosomal RNA (253 nucleotides) under uncultured bacterium. RNAcentral describes it as "partial 16S ribosomal RNA". It matches the Rfam family "Bacterial small subunit ribosomal RNA", at positions 524 to 776 of the family's 1533-position model. The record is from RNAcentral.
UACGUAGGGCGCGAGCGUUGUCCGGAAUUAUUGGGCGUAAAGAGCUCGUAGGCGGCCUGUUGCGUCCGCUGUGAAAACCCGGGGCUUAACCCCGGGCUUGCAGUGGAUACGGGCAGGCUGGAGGCAGGCAGGGGAGAACGGAAUUCCCGGUGUAGCGGUGAAAUGCGCAGAUAUCGGGAGGAACACCGGUGGCGAAGGCGGUUCUCUGGGCCUGUACUGACGCUGAGGAGCGAAAGCGUGGGGAGCGAACAGG